GGGUUGUGAGGUUAAGCGAAUAAGCGUACACGGUGGAUGCCUAGGCAAUCAGAGGCGAUGAAGGACGUGCUAAUCUGCGAUAAGCGUCGGUAAGGUGAUAUGAACCGUUAUACCCGACGAUUUCCGAAUGGGGAAACCCAAUAUCCAAUGGAUAUUAUCAUUAACUGAAUACAUAGGUUAAUGAAGCGAACCGGGAGAACUGAAACAUCUCAGUACCCCGAGGAAAAGAAAUCAACCGAGAUUCCCCUAGUAGCGGCGAGCGAACGGGGAACAGCCCAGAGUCUUAAUCAAUAGCAGCAUCAGGAGAACGGUCUGGAAAGUCCGGCAGUAAAGGGUGAUAGCCCCGUAUCCGAAGAUGCUGUUAUUGUGAACUCGACGAGUAGGGCGGGACACGUGUUAUCCUGUCUGAAUAUGGGGGGACCAUCCUCCAAGGCUAAAUACUCCUGAUUGACCGAUAGUGAACCAGUACCGUGAGGGAAAGGCGAAAAGAACCCCGGCGAGGGGAGUGAAAAAGAACCUGAAACCGUGUACGUACAAGCAGUAGGAGCCUCUUUAUGGGGUGACUGCGUACCUUUUGUAUAAUGGGUCAGCGACUUAUAUUCUGUAGCAAGGUUAACCGUAUAGGGGAGCCGUAGGGAAACCGAGUCUUAACUGGGCGAAUGAGUUGCAGGGUAUAGACCCGAAACCCGGUGAUCUAUCCAUGGGCAGGUUGAAGGUUGGGUAACACUAACUGGAGGACCGAACCGACUAAUGUUGAAAAAUUAGCGGAUGACUUGUGGAUGGGGGUGAAAGGCCAAUCAAACCGGGAGAUAGCUGGUUCUCCCCGAAAGCUAUUUAGGUAGCGCCUCGUGAACUCAUCUUCGGGGGUAGAGCACUGUUUCGACUAGGGGGUCAUCCCGACUUACCAACUCGAUGCAAACUGCGAAUACCGAAGAAUGUUAUCACGGGAGACACACGGCGGGUGCUAACGUCCGUCGUGAAGAGGGAAACAACCCAGACCGCCAGCUAAGGUCCCAAAGUCAUGGUUAAGUGGGAAACGAAGUGGGAAGGCUCAGACAGCCAGGAUGUUGGCUUAGAAGCAGCCAUCAUUUAAAGAAAGCGUAAUAGCUCACUGGUCGAGUCGGCCCGCGCGGAAGAUGUAACGGGGCUAAACCAUGCACCGAAGCUGCGGCAGCAACACUAAGUGUUGUUGGGUAGGGGAGCGUUCUGUAAGCCUGCGAAGGUGUACUGUGAGGUAUGCUGGAGGUAUCAGAAGUGCGAAUGCUGACAUAAGUAACGAUAAUGCGGGUGAAAAACCCGCACGCCGGAAGACCAAGGGUUCCUGUCCAACGUUAAUCGGGGCAGGGUGAGUCGACCCCUAAGGCGAGGCUGAAAAGCGUAGUCGAUGGGAAACGGGUUAAUAUUCCCGUACUGGUGGUAACUGCGAUGGGGGAACGGAGAAGGCUAGGUUGUCCGGGCGACGGUCGUCCCGGUUCAAGCAUGUAGGCAGAGUGAUUAGGCAAAUCCGGUCACUUAAUGCUGAGGUGUGAUGACGAACCACUAAGGUGGUGAAGCAAUUGAUGCCCUGCUUCCAGGAAAAGCCUCUAAGCUUCAGGUUACCAACAAUCGUACCCCAAACCGACACAGGUGGUCAGGUAGAGAAUACUCAGGCGCUUGAGAGAACUCGGGUGAAGGAACUAGGCAAAAUGGUGCCGUAACUUCGGGAGAAGGCACGCUGGCGGUAAGUGAAGUCCCUUGCGGACGGAGCCGAAGCCAGUCGAAGAUACCAGCUGGCUGCAACUGUUUAUUAAAAACACAGCACUGUGCAAACACGAAAGUGGACGUAUACGGUGUGACGCCUGCCCGGUGCUGGAAGGUUAAUUGAUGGGGUUAUCCUUAGGGAGAAGCUCUUGAUCGAAGCCCCAGUAAACGGCGGCCGUAACUAUAACGGUCCUAAGGUAGCGAAAUUCCUUGUCGGGUAAGUUCCGACCUGCACGAAUGGCGUAAUGAUGGCCAGGCUGUCUCCACCCGAGACUCAGUGAAAUUGAACUCGCUGUGAAGAUGCAGUGUACCCGCGGCAAGACGGAAAGACCCCGUGAACCUUUACUAUAGCUUGACACUGAACAUUGAGCCUUGAUGUGUAGGAUAGGUGGGAGACUAUGAAGUGUGGACGCCAGUCUGCAUGGAGUCAACCUUGAAAUACCACCCUUUAACGUUUGAUGUUCUAACCUAGGUCCAUAAUCUGGAUCGGGGACCGUGUCUGGUGGGUAGUUUGACUGGGGCGGUCUCCUCCUAAAGAGUAACGGAGGAGCACGAAGGUUGGCUAAGCAUGGUCGGACAUCAUGCGGUUAGUGCAAAGGCAUAAGCCAGCUUGACUGUGAGAGUGACGGCUCGAGCAGGUACGAAAGUAGGUCUUAGUGAUCCGGUGGUUCUGAAUGGAAGGGCCAUCGCUCAACGGAUAAAAGGUACUCCGGGGAUAACAGGCUGAUACCGCCCAAGAGUUCAUAUCGACGGCGGUGUUUGGCACCUCGAUGUCGGCUCAUCACAUCCUGGGGCUGAAGUAGGUCCCAAGGGUAUGGCUGUUCGCCAUUUAAAGUGGUACGCGAGCUGGGUUUAGAACGUCGUGAGACAGUUCGGUCCCUAUCUGCCGUGGGCGUUGGAAGAUUGAGAGGGGUUGCUCCUAGUACGAGAGGACCGGAGUGAACGCACCACUGGUGUUCGGGUUGUCAUGCCAAUGGCAUUGCCCGGUAGCUAAGUGCGGAAGAGAUAACCGCUGAAAGCAUCUAAGCGGGAAACUUGCCUCGAGAUGAGUCUUCCCUGUCACCUAGAGUGACCUAAAGGAACGUUUAAGACUAAGACGUUGAUAGGCUGGGUGUGUAAGCGUAGCGAUACGUUGAGCUAACCAGUACUAAUGAACCGUGAGGCUUAACCUGACAACACCGAAGGUGUUU
This 2930-nucleotide ribosomal RNA is filed under the name Proteus terrae subsp. cibarius. Its description in RNAcentral is "Proteus cibarius 23S ribosomal RNA". It matches the Rfam family "Bacterial large subunit ribosomal RNA". Lineage: Bacteria; Pseudomonadati; Pseudomonadota; Gammaproteobacteria; Enterobacterales; Morganellaceae. The record is from RNAcentral.